GGCCUGGUGGUGUAACUGGUAACACGUCUCCUUGUUUUCAUAAGUCUCCACAAAGGCUCAGGAGAACUACCCCGUUCGAUUCGGGGCUAGACCG
Mycena crocata is the source of this 94-nucleotide non-coding RNA. NCBI's taxonomy places the organism in Eukaryota, Fungi, Basidiomycota, Agaricomycetes, Agaricales, Mycenaceae. The record is from the annotation of a GenBank genome assembly.